AAAUUUUUGACGCUAAAUGGUAAGGCGUCGUAUUACGGAUACGUCGAUUGUGGGUUCGAGUCCCUCACAAUGUA
RNAcentral lists this transfer RNA (74 nucleotides) under Puccinia coronata f. sp. avenae. RNAcentral's name for it is "Puccinia coronata var. avenae f. sp. avenae partial tRNA-Arg". It matches the Rfam family "tRNA". Rfam says of the family: Transfer RNA (tRNA) molecules are approximately 80 nucleotides in length. Lineage: Eukaryota; Fungi; Basidiomycota; Pucciniomycetes; Pucciniales; Pucciniaceae. The record is from RNAcentral.